This 100-nucleotide small nuclear RNA is filed under the name Zalophus californianus (California sea lion). The record is from RNAcentral. Lineage: Eukaryota; Metazoa; Chordata; Mammalia; Carnivora; Otariidae.
UUGCUUUGGCAGCAGAUAUAUUAAAACUGGAACGUUACAGAGAUUAGCGUGGCCCCUGCGCAAGGAUGAUAUGCAGAUCCAUGAAGCGUUCCAUAUUUUU